This 889-nucleotide ribosomal RNA is filed under the name uncultured bacterium. RNAcentral describes it as "bacterial SSU rRNA". It matches the Rfam family "Bacterial small subunit ribosomal RNA", at positions 28 to 915 of the family's 1533-position model. The record is from RNAcentral.
GAUGAACGCUGGCGGCGUGCCUAAUACAUGCAAGUCGAACGAAUCUCUUUUAGAGAUGAGUGGCGAACGGGUGAGUAAUACAUAGGUAACCUGCCCCUGUGCGGGGGAUAACAGGAGGAAACUCCUGCUAAUACCGCAUAGCCAUGAGCACCGCAUGGAGCUCAUGCCAAAUAUCCUUUAUGGGAUAGCGCAGGGAUGGACCUAUGGCGCAUUAGCUGGUUGGCGGGGCAACGGCCCACCAAGGCAACGAUGCGUAGCCGGCCUGAGAGGGCGGACGGCCACAUUGGGACUGAGACACGGCCCAGACUCCUACGGGAGGCAGCAGUAGGGAAUUUUCGGCAAUGGGGGAAACCCUGACCGAGCAACGCCGCGUGAGCGAAGAAGGCCUUCGGGUCGUAAAGCUCUGUUGUAAAGGAAGAACGGCGCAUACAGGAAAUGGUAUGCGAGUGACGGUACUUUACCAGAAAGCCACGGCUAACUACGUGCCAGCAGCCGCGGUAAUACGUAGGUGGCGAGCGUUAUCCGGAAUCAUUGGGCGUAAAGAGGGAGCAGGCGGCCGCAAGGGUCUGUGGUGAAAGACCGAAGCUAAACUUCGGUAAGCCAUGGAAACCGGGCGGCUAGAGUGCGGAAGAGGAUCGUGGAAUUCCAUGUGUAGCGGUGAAAUGCGUAGAUAUAUGGAGGAACACCAGUGGCGAAGGCGACGGUCUGGGCCGCAACUGACGCUCAUUCCCGAAAGCGUGGGGAGCAAAUAGGAUUAGAUACCCUAGUAGUCCACGCCGUAAACGAUGGUCACUAAGUGUCGGGGGUCAAACCCCGGUGCUGCAGUCAACGCAAUAAGUGACCCGCCUGAGUAGUACGUUCGCAAGAAUGAAACUCAAAGGAAUUGACG